Small nuclear RNA from Meriones unguiculatus (Mongolian gerbil), 107 nucleotides. Lineage: Eukaryota; Metazoa; Chordata; Mammalia; Rodentia; Muridae. The record is from RefSeq and is a predicted model, not a curated record.
GUGCUCGCUUUGGCAGAACAUAUACAAAAAUUGGAACUAUCCUGAGAAGAUUAUCAUGGCCCAUGCACAAGGAUGACAUGCAAAUUCACAUAGAGUUCCAUUUUUUU